This is a long non-coding RNA of Nelumbo nucifera (sacred lotus), 1979 nucleotides long. RefSeq lists it as uncharacterized. NCBI's taxonomy places the organism in Eukaryota, Viridiplantae, Streptophyta, Magnoliopsida, Proteales, Nelumbonaceae. The record is from RefSeq and is a predicted model, not a curated record.
AAAAGAGGGCGAAUCGAGAGACGAAUCAGGACUCAGGACUCAGGAGGGAGUUUGAAGGAAAAAGAGACAAACCCUGGGAAAGUAUAAGAGGGAAGAAGGAAAGAGGACCCACUUACAGCUUCGGCGGAGGGCUCCCAAAGUGCCGACUGCCAACUGCAUCUCUCUUCCAGUGCAGCAUGCCCAUCAUCGACGUUCCCUUAUUGGGUUGCAAGGAACCUUGAAAGUUGAAACCACUACUCUCAUAAACCAGCAGGCAACGAGGUCAUCAGCCUCCUGGAUGCUAAUGAUCGACACCAAUCGUGACAACCAUCUGAGCCAACGUUGGUAACAUAUCCAUGUAUCGCUAACCCAGGUGCACUUCCAAUUUUAUUAGCCAUUAAGAAUAAAACAAAGAUUGUGUUUCAUCUUGGACUCCUUAAUGCGGCUUCACCUCGAAUGUUUUGGCUCUAUCAUGCAGCACUUUUUUGGGUUCUUUCAUGUGGAGUCACACAGGAAGAAAUUACCAAGAAAGCGACGAUUGGAACAAGAAAGUAAGAAAUCCUAUAUGGUAGAACGGAGAGAGAUGGCAAAGAAGGAAAGAUUGAAGAAAGAAAGGAAGAAACAAAAUAAUACAGGAAAGAAUUAUUCCAUUGCAAAUCUUCCUGAAGAAACCAUUGCAGAGGUUCUUGUUAGAGUUUCACCAUACUCUCUUGACAAUGCCAGGCUUGUUUGCAAGGCAUGGUCUAAGAUAAUUCUUUAUAAGUUCCACUUGUUUAAGCCAAGCUUCAUUAUCCAAGAAAAGAACCCUGAAUGCAAAGAUGGAUGUGAUACCCGAUUUGUAAUGAUUGAAGGAGGGAAGAUUAGAGACACUGGGUUAGAUUUCCCUUGCAAUGGACGAAUUAUGGCUAGCUGUAAUGGUUUGUUAUUGAUUGAAAGUUGCUGCAAAUUGCAAGUACCUGUAUGUGACUAACCCAAUUACCAAACAAUGUGUAAUACUUCCUCCAUGUGUACCAUACAUUGUGAGGGAACUAACUAUGGUGGUUCUAUGUAUGGGCUAACAUUUGUGCCUUCUCCCAAGGAAUUCAAGGUUGUGCAUGUUGUUCUAUUCAGGAAAAACCGCCUUGCAACUGUUGAAUGUGAAAUAUUUGUCUUGGGGAGUAAUACAUGGAGGGAGAUUGCAGAUGAAAUAAAUUUUCGCAAUGAGAAUGUAUUUUGGGCCAAUAUAUUCCCUGUUUCUGUGAAUGGAGUUUUGCAUUGCAAGGGUAUCUCAUACAUAGGUGAAAAAUACUGUUACAUAUUGUCCUUAAUGCUGCUGAUGAGAAGUUCCGACUGACGCAAAUCCCAAAUUACUACAACGCACAGGGUCAUGGCUUUAUAGAGGUUGGUGGCUAUUUAGCUCAUCUGACUCCUACAGCUCCUACCCAGAUGGAUCUAUGGUUUUUGAAGGAUUUUAAGUAUGGAAAUUGGAUCAAGAAACUUAGUAUUGCCUCAGAACAUGUAAGAAAUGCGAUUCAGAAUGGAACCAUAUUCCAUGUUGUACCCUUCUGUAUCUUGGAUAAUGGGAAAGUAAUAAUGCUCAGGGUUGGUUCAGAGAAAGGUUACAUGUUAUAUGCUUAUGAUACUGAGUCCGAACAAACAAGAUUGGUGGAAACAGGAAUCCAUUCAAUAAAUAAUUGCCUGCCUCUUCCUCACAUCAAUACCCUUGUCACUUUGGUAUCAUCUCACAGCGGAAGGUGGACUUCUAUCUGGAUCGUUGAUCAUCCAUAGAAGGAUUAAAAAUAGAAAUAGGGGUUUUGAUCACUUUAUAAUCUAAUAACAAAUAACAAUUUUUAUUUUAUUUUUUCUAGUUAUCCUUAUGUACGAGAUAGCUUAGGACAUGUUUGGGAGUGCUUUUAAACCCACUUAGGAAUGUCCUUUUAUAGAUACCUUAGGACAUGUUUGGGAGUGCUUAUUUGGGCCAUUAAGCAUUUAUUGGUAUUUGGGAAAUAAACCCGAAAUAA